RNA transcript from Canis lupus familiaris (dog), 2085 nucleotides. It is a transcript of the gene named t-complex 11, with no coding region annotated. The record is from RefSeq and is a predicted model, not a curated record. The transcript has 10 exons. Lineage: Eukaryota; Metazoa; Chordata; Mammalia; Carnivora; Canidae.
CGCGUCCUUUCUCCCCAGUCCAGAUUCCAUCCGCAACAUGCCGGACGUCGAGGACAGAAUGCCCCUGACGGACCCGGGCGACGCCGAGUGCAGGUCCUGCAGGCCCGAGACCUCCGCCCCGACCCGGGACGGCGCGAGCGGCGUGGAGGACGCCCCCGCCUGUCUGAUAGACACGGUUGAUGAUGUUUCUAAGCUGAGCAACAAGGUUGGAAAGAAUCGUGGUUUGCACAUGGAAGAAAAGGUUUCGCCUCCAAGCAGUUUGGAAGAUAAGGUCAAGGAGACCAUGCACAAUGCCUUUUGGAACCAUCUCAAAGAGCAAUUGUCAGCUACUCCCCCAGACUUCAGCUGUGCUCUUGAACUUCUGAAAGAAAUUAAAGAGAUCUUGCUCUCACUGCUGUUACCACGCCAGAGCCGCCUAAGAAGUGAGAUUGAAGAAGCACUGGAUACAGAGCUCCUCAAUCAGAAAGCAGAACAUGGAGCCCUGAAUGUCCCUCAUCUCUCUAAGUACAUUCUCAACAUGAUGACUUUGCUGUGCGCACCAGUUCGAGACGAAGCAGUACAGAAUCUAGAGAACAUUACGGACCCUGUUCGGUUGCUGAGAGGGAUCUUCCAGGUUCUGGGGCUGAUGAAAAUGGACAUGGUGAACUACACUAUCCAGAGCCUUCAGCCUCACCUGCAGGAACAUUCCAUCCAGCACGAACGGGCUACGUUCCAGGAACUCCUCAAUAAACAGCCAAGUCUCCUAGAUCACACCACCAAGUGGCUGACCCAAGCAGCAGCAGACCUCACCAUGCCACUCCCGACUUGCCCCGACACUUUGGACUCCACCAGUAUGGCCUCCUCCUCCCCGAACGAGGCAGUCAGCAGCCCAGAGCCCCUUAGCCCUACAAUGGUGCUAUCGCAGGGUUUCCUGAACCUCCUUCUCUGGGACCCGGAAAAUGAAGAGUUCCCUGAGACACUGCUGAUGGACAGGACCCGGCUGCAGGAGCUGGAGUCUCAGUUGCACCAGUUGACCAUCCUGGCCUCAGUUCUGCUAGUGGCCAGUAGUUUCUCAGGCAGUGUUUUGUUUGGCUCACCUCAGUUUGUGGAUAAGCUGAAACAUAUAACCAAAGACCUGAUGGAGGAGUUUAAGUCCAGGCCUGAGGAGGCUCUGCAGACUGUGAGUGAACAGGUGUCUCAGGAAAUCCAUCAAAGCCUCAAGAACAUGGGCCUUGCUGCUCUGAGCAGUGACAACACAGCAUCUCUGAUAGGACAGCUCCAGAACAUUGCCAAGAAGGAAAAUUGUGUCCGCAGUGUCAUUGUCCAAGACAUGACAUAGCCCUCACCUACCAGCAACAAGAAACUGAUGCUGAAUCAGCUAGAGGACAUGUUCCUGCAGCAAGGACUCAUCCCUGUUGGAAUGGACGGCAUGAACCUGACCUUGCUCUUAACCUCAGCCAUCCAAAGCAUCAGUCUAAGAUCCUUCAUGUUAGAUACUCACUCAAGAUCUACUGGUGGAAGCUUAAGUCAUCUUUUGACUAGUCAGGAAUUUACUAGCCCACUAGUCUGUGACCUUUGCUUUGUCCUUGGGAGCUAGAUAGCAUCCCCCUUCUGGAGCAACACAAAUUUCCUUAUCUCCAGUUGUUUGCUCACUGUCUUAUCCUGCUCAUAGAUCAGCGGAUCCACCUGUUUCUCAAAUGCUGUUUGGUCCUCGGUGUGCAGAGAUCUCUCUUAGACCUCCCUGGAGGCCUCACUGUCAUCGAAGCAGAACUGGCGGAACUAGGCCAAAAGUUUGUCAGCCUAACGCAUCACAAUCAGAAAGUGUUUGGCCCCUACUACACAGAGAUCCUAAAAACCCUCGUCCCUCCAGCCCAGGCCCUGGACACAGAGGUGGAGUCCAUCUGAAUGCACCAGCUCAAAGCCCUGGCCCCUGGAUCCCAGGAGAGAAGCUCAUCGUUCUCUGGGGUGGCUGACCAGUGACCGUCAGAGCAGGAAGCCCUCCUCCCUCCUGCAGCUGGCACACCAGGGCUGUAGCAAGCAGCGUGUAAAUACCCGCUGGCCCAAACUCCCUUACUAAUAAACUUCUGAACCCCAGGCAAACCUCCA